Molecule: long non-coding RNA, 361 nt
Filed under: Androctonus crassicauda
Lineage: Eukaryota; Metazoa; Arthropoda; Arachnida; Scorpiones; Buthidae
Source: RNAcentral
AGGAGAAGCAAAGUCUGAAAUAGAAAAUCUGAAUAUUUUAGUUAUGUUAGAUUGAUUCGAUGAAAUUCAAAAUAAAAUUUCAGUUUUGAAUUUUAUCCGAGAAGAAUCAUUCGAUAUCUCUCUGCGAAUGACAAUCCUUGUUACUAGUCGUCCUCAAGCCACAGAAGAUAUCAGAGAAGAUAUGAAGUCACGAUUUUCAGUCGAAGGCUUUUCUGAACAGCAACAACAGAAGUACAUUGAACUGAUGUUUAAAGAUUAUCAAGAUAAAGGUAAAGAAUUAUCUGAAAUACUGAAAGCAAAAGAAUCUUUUUCUAAAAUAAAAAAAAGUCCUCUUAUACUGCAUAUGAUAUGUUGCUUAUAU